GUUUUGUCCUGUGAGUACCUGAAGUAGCUGCCAGAUACUUGGGGAACACUUUGAAAGUGCUGAAUUAACUUAAUUAAAGGAUCCUAACUUCUUUGUGGUAUUGGGACAGGAAUUGAUAAUAGCGUUUCUUCUUGUACAGUUUUUAGACUGGACCUGCAUGCUGGGAAACAGCAUUUCGUGCCCCAGGUGAUACAGAACCCAGAAAUGGGGAUACAUGUGCCCUUCUGUUAUAUUGGCUUCAAAUAUCCCACCAAGAGUUGGCCCUUCAGAGUGAGGCGCCACCCCACCCCCCGCUUUUUCAUGUCCUUAUCAUCAUCUCAGUGCUCCUCUCCUUUCUGGUGGUGGUAAUCAUUCUUUUCUGUCAUUAGGAACAUUUUCUGAUUUCUUUCCCGGGGUAUUUGUGAUAUAGGAAGGAAAUGAGUGCUGAAAAGGGUUAUCCUGUUACAGAAUUUCAUAUACUAUGCUGCUUAUACUGGGAAGACUGACUAAAGAGGUCUUCCUGGGUUGCCUCAUCUGUACCCU
Molecule: long non-coding RNA, 522 nt
Filed under: Bos taurus (domestic cattle)
Lineage: Eukaryota; Metazoa; Chordata; Mammalia; Artiodactyla; Bovidae
Description: long non-coding RNA NONBTAT019393
Source: RNAcentral